This is a Y RNA of Pongo abelii (Sumatran orangutan), 102 nucleotides long. It matches the Rfam family "Y RNA". From Rfam's summary of the family: Y RNAs are components of the Ro ribonucleoprotein particle (Ro RNP), in association with Ro60 and La proteins. NCBI's taxonomy places the organism in Eukaryota, Metazoa, Chordata, Mammalia, Primates, Hominidae. The record is from Ensembl.
GGCUGGUCCAAGUGCAGUGGUGUUUACAGCUAAUUGAUCACAACCAGUUACAGAUUUCUUUGUUCCAUCUCUUCUCCCACUGCUUCACUUGACUAGCCUUAA